GGUGAUUCUGGGAACCACAGGUUGUCAUUGUCCCUGGCACUAAGAGCAGAAAGGCAAAUAUGGUGCCAGUGACUCAGACCUGCAUUGCUGGUACCUCACGGGGGAGAUGCAGUGCAGGAAGGGACCUGCCAUCCUCAUCCCCUGCUUGGUACCUGUAAGCACUGAGUUUUCUGUCACCCUGCCCUUGUCCCAGUGGGUUGCCUGGCCCUUCUCUCCUAGCAAACACAGAGAAUCAACAUUGUUGAUUCAGCUGGACUUUGCCUUGGGAUCCCAUGUGUUCCACAUUUGAAAGCAGAAUCUGUACUGACAAGUACCCAGGAUGAGUAUGGGAGAGUCAAGGGAUCCUGAAGGGCAGACAGCCCAAGCCAGCCCCAGAAGCCUCUUGUUGGAAAAUCAAGGACAGAGUGAAAAUUGAAGAAAAAAAAAAAAAGAGGAGGAAUGCUUCAAAGAAAAUGUCAUUUAAGUGUAAGUACAAUGUAUUUGCAUUCAAUAU
This 493-nucleotide long non-coding RNA is filed under the name Zonotrichia albicollis (white-throated sparrow). RNAcentral's name for it is "lncRNA (ENSZALG00000013520.1)". The record is from RNAcentral. Lineage: Eukaryota; Metazoa; Chordata; Aves; Passeriformes; Passerellidae.